UUACUUGUCUGGACUUGCACAUCUCUCCAUGCAUAGUGUGUUGAGAAGUCCCCAGGAGUUCUUUGAGCUACUCAGCCCACCUGUUCCCAGAGACCUCAGAACCCACUUCCAGAAUCUCUUGCUCCCUGACCCUGUCUUCUAGGUAGAGUGUUUUCUUUCUCAGCCUUGGGUGCCCCCAUGAGAUAGUGCUGUACCGCAGUUCUGGCGGUAUGUAGAGCCAUGACCUCUAAGCCUGCAGAUGCUGAGGGGUCAGGUUGCAGGCAGCCAGUCAGAUCUGUGCCUCCGAGAACCACUGUUCUUUCCUCUGAUUUUCCUGACCUACCUCAUCUUCUCUAUUCUCUAAUAGUGCCAGAACUUGGGGAAGCUUACUACUGUCCAGAUUGGCCAUGAUAACUCUGGACUGUAUGCCAAAUGGCUGGUGGAGUAUGUGAUGGUCAGGAAUGAGAUCACAGGACAUACCUACAGGUUCCCGUGUGGCCGGUGGUUAGGGAAGGGCAUGGAUGAUGGAAGCCUGGAGCGGAUCCUAGUUGGGGAGCUGCUCACAUCCCAGCCUGAGGUGGAUGAGAGGCCAUGCCGGACCCCGCCGCUGCAGCAGUCCCCCAGUGUCAUCCGGAGGCUUGUUACCAUCUCACCCAACAACAAGCCCAAGCUGAACACUGGGCAGAUCCAGGAGUCCAUCGGGGAGGCAGUCAAUGGCAUUGUGAAGCACUUCCAUAAGCCUGAGAAAGAGGUGAGCCUUCCUGCCCUCCAAUCCAGGGCCUUACAUUGAAUAAGAGAGAAUAAUUUUGUUUUUCCGAUUAUCUUGUUAUGCUCUUCCAGGCCCAUGUGCUGUGGACACCCUAGAGUCUUGUAGAGUGUGUGCCUCAGCUAGUUGGAGAUGGAGCAGACUCCUUCCUCUGGGGGCCUUUGCCUCAGGUUACCCUGUUUUCCCUCCAUACUGAUGACCCAAUAGAGUCCCCGGGCCCCUAGUGAACAGUGCCUAUUCCUGUCCUCUUCUAGAUUUGCCUGGGUCUCCUUGAAUAGUGGCCACACUGGCUUUGUCCUCCAGUGGAGAAUCUCCUUGUGUGUGACCCAGAUCUAUCAUCUCUUCUUUCAUCCAUUUAUUCAGCAGCUCUUCACUGGGAGCUGCUCUGAACCAGGCACUGUGCCAGGUGUUAGGGAAACAGACAAAGUCCUAGCCUGUCUUUUGCAGCCCUCCCAACUCUGGGCUGUGGGUUUAGGGAUGCAAUGGUGGGAGGGCAGCUCGGCUGAGACAAGCCUGGCACCCUCCCCUGUUUCCUUACGUAGCGAGGCAGUCUGACGCUGUUGCUCUGUGGAGAGUGUGGCCUUGUCUCGGCCUUGGAACAGGCUUUCCAGCAUGGAUUUAAAUCGCCCCGGCUCUUCAAAAAUGUCUUCAUUUGGGAUUUCCUGGAAAAAGCACAAACCUAUUAUGAGACAUUAGAGCAGAAUGAAGUAGUCCCUGAGGAAAACUGGCAUACAAGAGCCCGGAACUUCUGCCGAUUUGUCACUGCAAUCAACAAUACUCCCCGGAACAUCGGCAAGGAUGGCAAGUUUCAGAUGCUGGUGUGCUUGGGAGCCAGAGAUCACCUCCUACACCACUGGAUUGCCCUGCUGGCUGACUGCCCCAUCACUGCACACAUGUAUGAGGAUGUGGCACUGAUCAAAGACCAUACACUUGUCAAUUCCUUGAUUCGUGUGCUGCAGACAUUGCAGGAGUUCAACAUCACGCUGGAGACGUCCCUUGUCAAGGGCAUCGACAUCUGACCUCCCAGCACCAGCCAGCAGCAGGACUGAGAAAGACUCACCCUGCAGCUCUGACCUUUCUUCCCAAAGGGACUUUAGCGAUUGUGCAGGAGUAGGAGACAAAAUGUACACUCACUGUAAAAAGAAAACUAGAGGAUUUUUGGAAUAAAUAAUCUAUUUUAGAGUUUAUUUGCUGAUUUGCUUUUUACACACUUUCAUGUGAAAGAGUGAUAGGGAGAGGGAGCGAGGCUGGUGCCGCUUAUUUUGAAGCUGGUGCCCUCCCUCGCCGUGGCCACAUGCUGGAAGCCUGAGGCCUCCCUGGACUGAGCCUGUGGCACUGCGUGCGGGACAGUUAUGUUUCCUUGCCCCGUCGCAUUAAUGAGGCCCUUCCACAUCAUUUUUAAACUAAUGUUUUUCUAUAUUAACAUUAUUAUGGAUAUUUGGCUUUCAUAGGCCACACACAGGUGUGCUGCGCGGGAAGCCCCAUGCUCCAAUCAAAGGGAUUUUUAGUAGUGCCUCUAAGCAAGCACUGAUGAGUCAGUCCCACGUAUUUUCUUUUUUGUCAGUAUUAUUUGGGAAGGAGACAUGCCGGGAUGUGUCAUCGUGCCAAAUACCACAUUUCCUGUUGGCACAGUUUCACAGAAGUAAACAUAAGCAUGUUUUAACAGGUUUUUCUUUUCUUUUUUCUUUUUUAAAAUGUUUUAUUUAUUUAACCCGCCAUUGUGUGUUUUUAAGUAUUUUCUUUUUUUAAGGAAAGGAAAAGCUUGUCACAAUCUAACUGGCUAUGUUAUUAUUAUUAAAUUUAUGUUUUGCAACUUAGAAACCAGCUACAUACAGUAUGGCCCACUUAAUAAAACACCUGAAAC
Molecule: small RNA, 2609 nt
Filed under: Pan troglodytes (chimpanzee)
Lineage: Eukaryota; Metazoa; Chordata; Mammalia; Primates; Hominidae
Description: retained intron
Source: RNAcentral